AUUGAACGCUGGCGGCAUGCCUUACACAUGCAAGUCGAACGGUAACAGGUCUUCGGAUGCUGACGAGUGGCGAACGGGUGAGUAAUACAUCGGAACGUGCCUAGUAGUGGGGGAUAACUACUCGAAAGGGGGGCUAAUACCGCAUGAGAUCUACGGAUGAAAGCAGGGGAUCGCAAGACCUUGUGCUACUAGAGCGGCCGAUGGCAGAUUAGGUAGUUGGUGGGAUAAAAGCUUACCAAGCCGACGAUCUGAAGCUGGUCUGAGAGGACGAUCAGCCACACUGGGACUGAGACACGGCCCAGGCUCCUACGGGAGGCAGCAGUGGGGAACUUUGGACAAUGGGCGCAAGCCUGAUCCAGCAAUGCCGCAUACAGGAUGGAGGCCUUCGGGUUGUAAACUGCUUUUGUACGGAACGAAAAGCCCCGGGUUAAUACCCUGGGGUCAUGACGGUACCGUAAGAAUAAGCACCGGCUAACUACGUGCCAGCCGCCGCAGGAC
RNAcentral lists this ribosomal RNA (498 nucleotides) under uncultured bacterium. RNAcentral describes it as "partial 16S ribosomal RNA". It matches the Rfam family "Bacterial small subunit ribosomal RNA", at positions 30 to 523 of the family's 1533-position model. The record is from RNAcentral.